GAUGAACGCUGGCGGCGUGCCUAAUACAUGCAAGUCGAGCGAACAGAUUAGUUACUUUCUCUUCUGACGUUAGUGACGGACGUAUUAGUAGCACGUUGAUUAACUCCCUAUAAGACUGGGUUACCUUCGGGAAUCCGCGUCUAAUACCGGAUAUUAUAUUGAAUCGCAUUGUUCAUUCGCGAAAGACGGUUUUGCUGUCACUUAUAGAUUGAUCCGCGCUUCAUUAGCUAUUUGUGAAGGUAACGGCUUAACAAGACAACGAUGCGUAGCAGACCUGAGAGGGUGAGAGGACAAACCGGAACUGAGGAGAGGACCAGAAUCCUACGGGAGGCAGAAGUAGGGAAUCUUCAGCAAUGGGAGAAAGCCUGAAGGAGCAACGACGCGUGAGUGAUGAAGGUCUUGGGACCGUAAAACUCAGUUAUUAGGGAAGAACAAAUGUGUAAGUAAAUAUGAACGUAUUGACGGUACCAAACCAGAAAGCCACGGCUAACUACGUG
Molecule: ribosomal RNA, 497 nt
Filed under: uncultured bacterium
Lineage: Bacteria
Description: partial 16S ribosomal RNA
Rfam family: Bacterial small subunit ribosomal RNA
Source: RNAcentral